CAACAGGGAUUGCCCUAGUAACGGCGAGUGAAGCGGCAACAGCUCAAAUUUGAAAUCUGGCGCAAGCCCGAGUUGUAAUUUGUAGAGGAUGCUUCUGGGUAGCGACCGAUCUAAGUUCCUUGGAACAGGACGUCAUAGAGGGUGAGAAUCCCGUAUGUGACCGGCCCGCACCCUUUACGUAGCUCCUUCGACGAGUCGAGUUGUUUGGGAAUGCAGCUCUAAAUGGGAGGUAAAUUUCUUCUAAAGCUAAAUACCGGCCAGAGACCGAUAGCGCACAAGUAGAGUGAUCGAAAGAUGAAAAGUACUUUGGAAAGAGAGUUAAAAAGCACGUGAAAUUGUUGAAAGGGAAGCGCCUGCAACCAGACUUCGCGGCAGUGUUCCGCCGGUCUUCUGACCGGUUCAUUCUCUGUCGCGAGGCCAUCAUCGUCUGGGCCCGCCGGAUAAGACCUGAGGAAUGUGGCUCCCCCUCGGGGGAGUGUUAUAGCCUCUGGUGAUGCGGCGUGGCUCGGGCGAGGUCCGCGCUUCGGCAAGGAUGAUGGCGUAAUGGUUGUCGGCGGCCCGUCUUGAAACACGGACCAAGGAGUCUAACAUCUAUGCGAGUGUUCGGGUGUCAAACCCCUACGCGUAAUGAAAGUGAACGGAGGUGGGAACCGCAAGGUGCACCAUCGACCGAUCCUGAUGUCCUCGGAUGGAUUUGAGUAAGAGCAUAGCUGUUGGGACCCGAAAGAUGGUGAACUAUGCCUGAAUAGGGUGAAGCCAGAGGAAACUCUGGUGGAGGCUCGCAGCGGUUCUGACGUGCAAAUCGAUCGUCAAAUUUGGGUAUAGGGGCGAAAGACU
Molecule: ribosomal RNA, 837 nt
Filed under: Cercospora maculicola
Lineage: Eukaryota; Fungi; Ascomycota; Dothideomycetes; Mycosphaerellales; Mycosphaerellaceae
Description: eukaryotic LSU rRNA
Rfam family: Eukaryotic large subunit ribosomal RNA
Source: RNAcentral